Molecule: small nuclear RNA, 102 nt
Organism: Sorex araneus (European shrew)
Lineage: Eukaryota; Metazoa; Chordata; Mammalia; Eulipotyphla; Soricidae
Source: Ensembl
GUGCUCUCUUGGGAAGCACAUAUAUUACUUGUCAGGAGACACAGAUUAGCAAAGGCCCUGUGCAAGGAGGACACAGACAUUCAUGAAGUGCUUCAUAUUUUA